Molecule: long non-coding RNA, 2861 nt
Organism: Xiphophorus couchianus (Monterrey platyfish)
Lineage: Eukaryota; Metazoa; Chordata; Actinopteri; Cyprinodontiformes; Poeciliidae
Exons: 2
Source: RefSeq, a predicted model, not a curated record
GUAAUAAUCAAGUUUAUUUGUAUAGCAAAGUCAAAAUAAAACAAAAUUUAUCUUUAUUCUCAUGUGAGUUUAUUCUCAUAAUUUUAUGGGUUUUUUAUUAAUAUCUUCUUAGUAUGGUGCUAAUACAACGUCGCAUCUUUCUGUAUAUUUAUUAUUUUCGGCCAUUUUGGUGCCUAAAUGCGAACAAGUCUUGAGAGCAUAAAGGAAAAAAACCCAGCUGAACAUUUCCAGCUUCCAGACUGAGAUUAUCCGUCAGGCAACAGAAACACAGAUCCGUUUCAUUUCCAUGUGAACCAAAAUGUUUCUGUAUUUCAGGGUAACAAAAACAGGAAUCAAUCAGUCGUGAGACAACAAUGUAAAGACAAGAACUGUACAAUAAAUACAUCAGAGUUUUACACGUUGAGGUGACUUCCAUGAAAAAAUAAACACUGUUGACAGAAAGCACGUGGUCGCCACGAGUCCGUUUCAAGUCUUCACACGAGAACAGGAAGUGAUGAGCAGCCGCAGCUUCAUCUUUAUUUAAAAAAUAAAAUAAAAUAAAAAACAGAUUGGAUGAAACAGAAGAAAACAGAAGGCAUCGUGCAGCUAAGGAAUGCAGUGAGGGCCAAACUACCGACUUAACAGAUGCUACUUCAUGUUCCUGUACGGUUUUCCUGCCAGUGUCUGAAUUUCAAAGUUGAAUUUAACCUAAAAGUGCGAUUUAAAAUGUGGUUAUGCGGUGUAGCUCUGAGCAGUCAGUAUCUUAACUGCAGCAAAUUCAAUUUGAAAAAUACUUCACAAGAACUCUGAACAUGUAAGCAUAUGAUCCUAGAUUAAAGAAUCAGUAAAGAGCAGGUAUGGCAGGACAAUAAACGUAUCACAAUAUAAGCGUUUCAUAUCAGUCAACAUUGAUAAUUACUGAUCAGUUUUUUGUUUGUUUUAAAUAUGUGAAAUACUGCUGAACUGGCAGUGUGACGGCUUUUAUCCAGUUUUCACUCAACUCCGUUGUUUAUUUUUAAGCAGUUAAGAAGCAAAACCUUAAACUGCUGCAGCGCCGGUUACUCAACAAGUUGUCGCUAGGUAACCAAAGAGUGAGCGAGUUGCUAGGUAACCAAAGAGUGACCGAGUUAGUUGAUUCCACCAACCUAGCUUAACUAGCAAUGAGAGGUUGAGUAGCUAAAGUCUUUCCUCUCACUACAUCUCCCAGAAUGCUUUGCAGUUAUGGAUCUGAAUUAUUGAAUAUUCCAUCUAUUGAUAUUGAUCAUCUGUUUAUCACAAUAUAUGUCUGUGUCUGAAUUCAAGGUCCUGAAAAAAGGAUCGGUCUACGUGGGACGGGUCCUUCACAGACUGAACGACGACCGGAAGAGAAAAGCUGUGAAUUCGGACAGGUCUGGUCUUCACCAACUGCCCCAACUGCCCCCGCCUCAGCGCAACUCAUGUUGCCUAGCAACCAUGACAGCAUGAAGCAGAGAGCAGCAAAGAAAAUAACAACGCAGCCAAAGUUUGUUUUUCAGUCAUGCAUUACUCCUGAUUUCUGUAUUAUUCUUCACCUUUUAUAGUAAAUGCUGUUCCACAGGGAAAAUUAAUCUGUUAGUUUGAUUCUAAAAUAUUCAAACAUGUGUUGCACAUUUCUACCAGGAAUAAAUAUAAGCAAAUUAUUCAAUUUCAAAUAUAAUACUCUCCAAAUCUUGGAUAAGCUAUUAGUUAAAUAAAACUAGUUUGUUUGAAGGCUUAACUUUAAUCAAUCAAACUGAUUUGAUCAGGAAUAAAUUAAAUACUUUAGUAAACCAAACAUUUUACAACCAGAUAUUACCUGUGUGAAUAAUAUCAGUGUUUAACUUCCACUCAUUAGGGAAAGCUAGUGGGAGUUUUUGUAACAAUGUGCCGGGAGUCAGGCGUUCUGCUCCGGUAAACCCAACCUGAACUGCCGGCCAGCUGGCUGCUAACGCAGCGGCAGCAGACAGCAGGUGAUGUUUUGGUGAACCGAGCAGAUAUUGGAGAUUUACACACUGACAUUCACUUUGUGUCAUUUAAAGUAUAAAACAACUAAAUCAUUUGCCGCUCUUCACCGCCAUUGACGCUCUGCCUGACCGCCCAGUUUGGACCCGCAAUGAAUUAUGGGAUAUGGCGGGCCAUGAAGGACACACCGGACCCAUCCUUCAAAUUGGGGGAAGAGGAGAAAUCAUUUGGAGGAGUCUUCGAAUUCGAACAGGCCUUUUCGCUACGCUAUGACAUAAUCGGCCUACAAAUCCGUCCUUCGCAGGAGGCAGACCCUGAAUUCGGACCCGGCUCUUAUCGGACCUGAUUUACUGUCCAGCCUAGGAAUAAACGUCGGCAUUUAUCGUAACGUUUAGCAUUUAUCGUGACAAAUUUUGUGAUAAGCAUUUUGAUUUAACAGUAAAUUUCAGUUCAUAUUUUUAAAAAAUGAUUUAAAGUGUUUUUACUAUUUUCAGGGUUUUUUUCACAAGAACAUCAAUAUUUCUAAACCCAAUUUAGAUACGCUUAUUCUUUCUCCUGGUGAAAAAAAAAGUUUAGAUAUAAAAAUAGAACAAAUGAAAAAGAACAAACGACUCCUGGCAAAUGCAGCUCACACAUUUAUGCUAGGUUAGCAUAAAUGUUAAUCUAGCAUAAAUGUUAAUCUAGCAUAAAUGCCAAGUUUGCCAGUUGAAAUAAAUCAUGUUUUACUUUUGAGGUGUUUUAGAUGGUGAUUUUAUGAAUAUAUUGCUCUGUCUCGCUUUCAACUGCAUGUCAGAUACUGACUGCUCAGAACUGCACCACACAACCCACACAAUACUGUAAAAAAAAUAAAAAAAUAAAAAUAAAGCGUUAGGUCAAUUUGUACGGAAACUACAAUGGUGUAUUAGGACCGUAAAAAAAGAAGA